CUGACUGCUAUCGGAUUGGUACUAAGCCAUGUGAGUCAUUGUAGCAAUACAAGGCAGACGGCUCAGUAACACGUAGUCAAUCUACCCUAUGGACGGGGAUAACCUCGGGAAACUGAGGAUAAAACCCGAUAGAUCAUAGUGCCUGGAACGGCUUAUGGUCCAAAUGAUUCGUCGCCGUAGGAUGGGACUGCGGCCUAUCAGCUUGUUGGUGAGGUAAUGGCCCACCAAGGCUAUUACAGGUACGGGCUCUGAGAGGUGAAGCCCGGAGAUGGGUACUGAGACACGGACCCAGGCCCUAUGGGGCGCAGCAGGCGAGAAACUUUUGCAAUGUGCGCAAGCACGACAAGGUUAAUCCGAGUGUUUCCUGCUAAAGGAAUCUUUUGUUAGUUUUAAAACCACUAUUGAAUAAGGGGUGGGCAAGUUCUGGUGUCAGCCGCCGCGGUAAAACCAGCACCUCAAGUGGUCAGGAGGAUUAUUGGGCCUAAAGCAUCCGUAGCCUGUUCUGUAAGUUUCCUGUUAAAUCCAUUAGCUCAACUAAUGGGCUGCCGAAAAUACUGCAGAGCUAGGGAGUGGGAGAGGUAGACGGUACUCGGUAGGAAGGGGUAAAAUCCUUUGAUCUAUUGAUGACCACCUGUGGCGAAGGCGGUCUACCAGAACACGUUCGACGGUGAGGGGUGAAAGCUGGGGGAGCAAACCGGAUUAGAUACCCGGGUAGUCCCAGCUGUAAACGAUGCAGUCUCGGUGAUGCGCUGGCUUGUGGCCAGUGCAGUGCCGCAGGGAAGCCGUU
Molecule: ribosomal RNA, 787 nt
Filed under: uncultured archaeon
Lineage: Archaea
Description: bacterial SSU rRNA
Rfam family: Archaeal small subunit ribosomal RNA
Source: RNAcentral